AGAGUUUGAUCCUGGCUCAGGAUGAACGCUGGCGGUAUGCUUAACACAUGCAAGUCGAACGAAGUCUUCGGACUUAGUGGCGGACGGGUGAGUAACGCGUAAGAAUCUACCUAUAGGUUCGGGACAACAGUUAGAAAUGACUGCUAAUACCGGAUAUGCCUUCGGGUGAAAGUUUUAAUGCCUGUAGAUGAGCUUGCGUUCGAUUAGCUAGAUGGUGGGGUAACGGCCUACCAUGGCGACGAUCGAUAACUGGUCUGAGAGGAUGACCAGUCACACUGGGACUGAGACACGGCCCAGACUCCUACGGGAGGCAGCAGUGGGGAAUUUUCCGCAAUGGGCGAAAGCCUGACGGAGCAAUACCGCGUGAGGGACUAAGGCCUGUGGGUUGUAAACCUCUUUUGUUAGGGAAGAUAAUGACUGUACCUAACGAAUAAGCAUCGGCUAACUCCGUGCCAGCAGCCGCGGUAAGACGGAGGAUGCAAGCGUUAUCCGGAAUUAUUGGGCGUAAAGCGUACGUAGGCUGCUAAUUAAGUCUGUUGUCAAAGCCCGAGGCUCAACCUUGGAUCGGCAAUGGAAACUGACUAGCUAGAGAGAGAUAGGGGCAGGAGGAAUUCCAGGUGUAGCGGUGAAAUGCGUAGAUAUCUGGAAGAACACCAGUGGCGAAAGCGUCCUGCUGGAUCUCAACUGACGCUGAAGUACGAAAGCUAGGGGAGCGAAUGGGAUUAGAUACCCCAGUAGUCCUAGCCGUAAACGAUGGGUACUAGGUGUUGGUCGUAUCGACCCGAUCAGUGCCGUAGCUAACGCGUUAAGUACCCCGCCUGGGGAGUACGGUCGCAAGAUUGAAACUCAAAGGAAUUGACGGGGGCCCGCACAAGCGGUGGAGUAUGUGGUUUAAUUCGAUGCAACGCGAAGAACCUUACCAAGGCUUGACAUGUCGUGAAUCCUCUUGAAAGGGAGGAGUGCCUUCGGGAGCACGAACACAGGUGGUGCAUGGCUGUCGUCAGCUCAUGUCGUGAGAUGUUGGGUUAAGUCCCGCAACGAGCGCAACCCUCGUUCUUAGUUGCCAUCAUUAAGUUGGGCACUCUAGAGAGACUGCCGGUGACAAACCGGAGGAAGGUGGGGAUGACGUCAAGUCAUCAUGCCCCUUACGCCUUGGGCUACACACGUACUACAAUGGCCGGGACAAAGAGUUGCGAGCAUGCGAAUGCAAGCUAAUCUCAUAAACCCGGUCUUAGUUCAGAUUGCAGGCUGCAACUCGCCUGCAUGAAGGCGGAGUCGCUAGUAAUCGCAGGUCAGCAUACUGCGGUGAAUACGUUCCCGGGCCUUGUACACACCGCCCGUCUCACCAUGGAAGC
RNAcentral lists this ribosomal RNA (1355 nucleotides) under metagenome. RNAcentral describes it as "bacterial SSU rRNA". It matches the Rfam family "Bacterial small subunit ribosomal RNA". The record is from RNAcentral.